This 687-nucleotide ribosomal RNA is filed under the name Triticum aestivum (bread wheat). RNAcentral's name for it is "partial small subunit ribosomal RNA". Lineage: Eukaryota; Viridiplantae; Streptophyta; Magnoliopsida; Poales; Poaceae. The record is from RNAcentral.
AUGGCGAGGCGCCUGGGAGUCGUGCUGGUUGUGGCGGCGGUCGUUCUUCUCCUUGUCACCGCCACGGCCGCCCGGUCCGACAACCCACCCAAGGUGCAGGGGCCGAAGCCAAAACCGAAGCCGAUGAGCGUCAAAGUGCAUCGACGCAAGGAGAACCCCUACUGCUUUAACCGGAACAUGGACUGCCCUUCCUACUACCCACAAUGGGAGCAACACGUGCAAACCCGUCUGCGGUGCGUGUGUGCAGUGUGCAACACGCCAGGGGCGUGCGGCGAUCCACGGUUCAUCGGCGACGGCAACACCUUCUACUUCCACGGCCGCAGGGAUGCUGACUUCUGCGUCGUCUUCGACCAUGAUCUUCACAUCAACGCGCACUUCAUUGGCAAGAGUGGCCACAACAGCAUGUCUCGAGACUUCACCUGGAUGCAGGCCAUCGCCGUUCUCUUCGACGGUGGCCACCACCUCUACGUCGACGCCAGGAAGACCGUCAUCUGGGACGACACUGUCGAGCACCUCGAGAUCACCCUGUACGGUGAGCCUGUGCACCUCCCCACCGAUGGUGCCAACAAGUGCAUGUCCAGCCUCGUCCCCGAGUUGUCUGUCACUCACACAAAGGCGGCCAAUGGCGUGUUGAUCGCCCUUGACGGAAAGUUUAGCAUCAGGGCGAACAUCGUGCCCAUCACCUAG